RNAcentral lists this ribosomal RNA (425 nucleotides) under uncultured bacterium. RNAcentral describes it as "partial 16S ribosomal RNA". It matches the Rfam family "Bacterial small subunit ribosomal RNA", at positions 354 to 796 of the family's 1533-position model. The record is from RNAcentral.
GUGGGGAAUCUUGCGCAAUGGGCGAAAGCCUGACGCAGCCAUGUCGCGUGAAUGAUGAAGGUCUUAGGAUUGUAAAAUUCUUUCACCGGGGACGAUAAUGACGGUACCCGGAGAAGAAGCUCCGGCUAACUUCGUGCCAGCAGCCGCGGUAAUACGAAGGGGGCUAGCGUUGCUCGGAAUUACUGGGCGUAAAGGGCGCGUAGGCGGACAGCUUAGUCAGAGGUGAAAGCCCAGGGCUCAACCUUGGAAUUGCCUUUGAUACUGGCUGUCUUGAGUUUGGGAGAGGUGAGUGGAACUCCGAGUGUAGAGGUGAAAUUCGUAGAUAUUCGGAAGAACACCAGUGGCGAAGGCGACUCACUGGCCCAAUACUGACGCUGAGGCGCGAAAGCGUGGGGAGCAAACAGGAUUAGAAACCCGGGUAGUCC